UCAGACGAUGCGUCAUGCAUAUCAAUAAGCGGAGGAAAAGAAACUAACAAGGAUUCCCCUAGUAACGGCGAGUGAAGCGGGAAGAGCUCAAAUUUGAAAUCUUAAAGGGUUUCCCUUUACGAAUUGUAGUUUAAAGAAGUGUUUUCUGUUGAGGUUUUGGUAAAAGUUCUUUGGAAUAGGACAUCAUAGAGGGUGAGAAUCCCGUAUUUGACCUUUACUUUCAACUUUGUGAUACACUUUCAAAGAGUCGGAUUGUUUGGGAAUGCAGUCCAAAAUGGGUGGUAAAUUUCAUCUAAAGCUAAAUAUUGGCGAGAGACCGAUAGCGAACAAGUACCGUGAGGGAAAGAUGAAAAGAACUUUGAAAAGAGAGUUAAACAGUACGUGAAAUUGUCAAAAGGGAAGCGUUUGACACCAGUGUUGUUUUUCUGAAAAUCAAUUAAAGAACUGUUUAUGCUAAGUUGUUUAGACUUUAUCAGCUAACUGUUUAGUUUUGAGCUUUUCUUUAAUGCACUUUUCAGUUAACAAGUCAACAUCAAUUUCUUUUGCUGUAAAAGAGCUUGAGGAAGGUGGCUUGAGAUUCGUCUUAAGUGUUUAUAGCCUCUUGCCUAUGCAGUCGGAGAGAUUGAGGUCUGCAGCGUAGAUCCUUCGGGGCUAAAUGCAUUUGUGCUAAGUUAUAGCAUUUUAUAGACAACUUGUUGACUAUGAUUUGUCUUGUAGCUUACUCGCUUAUGUUAUUUUACCUACGCUUAGGAUGUUGAAGAUGUAGCACAUCAU
Molecule: ribosomal RNA, 774 nt
Filed under: uncultured Neocallimastigales
Lineage: Eukaryota; Fungi; Neocallimastigomycota; Neocallimastigomycetes; Neocallimastigales
Description: partial large subunit ribosomal RNA
Rfam family: Eukaryotic large subunit ribosomal RNA
Source: RNAcentral